RNAcentral lists this ribosomal RNA (253 nucleotides) under uncultured bacterium. RNAcentral describes it as "partial 16S ribosomal RNA". It matches the Rfam family "Bacterial small subunit ribosomal RNA", at positions 524 to 776 of the family's 1533-position model. The record is from RNAcentral.
UACGUAGGGGGCGAGCGUUGUCCGGAGUUACUGGGCGUAAAGGGCGUGCAGGCGGUGCGAUAAGUUUGGAGUGACAGUACCCGGCUUAACUGGGUAAGGCCUUCGAAAACUGUCGGACUUGAGGGCCAGAGAGGGACAUAGAAUUCCGGGUGGAGUGGUGAAAUGCGUAGAUAUCCGGAGGAAUACCAAAGGCGAAGGCAGUGUCCUGGCUGGCAACUGACGCUGAGGCGCGAAAGCUAGGGGAGCGAACAGG